AUAUUGCAGGAUGUAAACAAGUUCGAAAAUGGUUAAUCAUCCCGAGAUUUAUUCAACAAGAGUUUCUAAUCUUACAAAAGUUGACAAUUCACAACUUACAUCGCCUGGUACACGUAAUACACUUUGAUCAAGAUACCGACUGCUAACCUCUAACUCUCAAACUAUUAAAGAAACAAAUCGAACGGAUUAUGAUAGAAGAAAAACGAGGAGUGGGGAAAAGAAGUAAAAAUUACAAGAUCAGACAAUUAAAGAUAAAUUUCAAAACAUU
RNAcentral lists this long non-coding RNA (268 nucleotides) under Malus domestica (apple). RNAcentral describes it as "long non-coding RNA (MDOM_LNC017352)". Lineage: Eukaryota; Viridiplantae; Streptophyta; Magnoliopsida; Rosales; Rosaceae. The record is from RNAcentral.